UUAAGCGACUAAGCGUACACGGUGGAUGCCCUGGCAGUCAGAGGCGAUGAAGGACGUGCUAAUCUGCGAAAAGCGUCGGUAAGGUGAUAUGAACCGUUACAGCCGGCGAUGUCCGAAUGGGGAAACCCAGUGCAAUUCGUUGCACUAUCGUUAACUGAAUACAUAGGUUAACGAGGCGAACCGGGGGAACUGAAACAUCUAAGUACCCCGAGGAAAAGAAAUCAACCGAGAUUCCCCCAGUAGCGGCGAGCGAACGGGGAGCAGCCCAGAGUCUGAAUCAGCUUGUGUGUUAGUGGAACGGUCUGGAAAGUCCGACGGUACAGGGUGAUAGUCCCGUACACCAAAAUGCACAGGCUGUGAACUCGAAGAGUAGGGCGGGACACGUGGUAUCCUGUCUGAAUAUGGGGGGACCAUCCUCCAAGGCUAAAUACUCCUGACUGACCGAUAGUGAACCAGUACCGUGAGGGAAAGGCGAAAAGAACCCCGGCGAGGGGAGUGAAAAAGAACCUGAAACCGUGUACGUACAAGCAGUGGGAGCACCUUCGGGUGUGACUGCGUACCUUUUGUAUAAUGGGUCAGCGACUUAUAUUCUGUAGCAAGGUUAACCGUAUAGGGGAGCCGCAGGGAAACCGAGUCUUAACUGGGCGUUAAGUUGCAGGGUAUAGACCCGAAACCCGGUGAUCUAGCCAUGGGCAGGUUGAAGGUUGGGUAACACUAACUGGAGGACCGAACCGACUAAUGUUGAAAAAUUAGCGGAUGACUUGUGGCUGGGGGUGAAAGGCCAAUCAAACCGGGAGAUAGCUGGUUCUCCCCGAAAGCUAUUUAGGUAGCGCCUCGUGAACUCAUCUUCGGGGGUAGAGCACUGUUUCGGCUAGGGGGUCAUCCCGACUUACCAACCCGAUGCAAACUACGAAUACCGAAGAAUGUUAUCACGGGAGACACACGGCGGGUGCUAACGUCCGUCGUGAAGAGGGAAACAACCCAGACCGCCAGCUAAGGUCCCAAAGUCAUGGUUAAGUGGGAAACGAUGUGGGAAGGCACAGACAGCCAGGAUGUUGGCUUAGAAGCAGCCAUCAUUUAAAGAAAGCGUAAUAGCUCACUGGUCGAGUCGGCCUGCGCGGAAGAUGUAACGGGGCUAAACCAUGCACCGAAGCUGCGGCAGCGACACUAUGUGUUGUUGGGUAGGGGAGCGUUCUGUAAGCCUGCGAAGGUGACCUGUGAGGGUUGCUGGAGGUAUCAGAAGUGCGAAUGCUGACAUAAGUAACGAUAAAGCGGGUGAAAAGCCCGCUCGCCGGAAGACCAAGGGUUCCUGUCCAACGUUAAUCGGGGCAGGGUGAGUCGACCCCUAAGGCGAGGCCGAAAGGCGUAGUCGAUGGGAAACAGGUUAAUAUUCCUGUACUUGGUGUUACUGCGAAGGGGGGACGGAGAAGGCUAUGUUAGCCGGGCGACGGUUGUCCCGGUUUAAGCAUGUAGGCUGGUUAUCCAGGCAAAUCCGGAUAAUCAAGGCUGAGGUGUGAUGACGAGGCACUACGGUGCUGAAGUAACAAAUGCCCUGCUUCCAGGAAAAGCCUCUAAGCAUCAGGUAACAUCAAAUCGUACCCCAAACCGACACAGGUGGUCAGGUAGAGAAUACCAAGGCGCUUGAGAGAACUCGGGUGAAGGAACUAGGCAAAAUGGUGCCGUAACUUCGGGAGAAGGCACGCUGGUGUGUAGGUGAAGUCCCUGCGGAUGGAGCUGAGACCAGUCGAAGAUACCAGCUGGCUGCAACUGUUUAUUAAAAACACAGCACUGUGCAAACACGAAAGUGGACGUAUACGGUGUGACGCCUGCCCGGUGCCGGAAGGUUAAUUGAUGGGGUUAUCCGUAAGGAGAAGCUCUUGAUCGAAGCCCCGGUAAACGGCGGCCGUAACUAUAACGGUCCUAAGGUAGCGAAAUUCCUUGUCGGGUAAGUUCCGACCUGCACGAAUGGCGUAAUGAUGGCCAGGCUGUCUCCACCCGAGACUCAGUGAAAUUGAACUCGCUGUGAAGAUGCAGUGUACCCGCGGCAAGACGGAAAGACCCCGUGAACCUUUACUAUAGCUUGACACUGAACAUUGAGCCUUGAUGUGUAGGAUAGGUGGGAGGCUUUGAAGCGUGGACGCCAGUCUGCGUGGAGCCAACCUUGAAAUACCACCCUUUAAUGUUUGAUGUUCUAACGUUGGCCCCUGACCGGGGUUGCGGACAGUGUCUGGUGGGUAGUUUGACUGGGGCGGUCUCCUCCCAAAGCGUAACGGAGGAGCACGAAGGUUAGCUAAUCCUGGUCGGACAUCAGGAGGUUAGUGCAAUGGCAUAAGCUAGCUUGACUGCGAGCGUGACGGCGCGAGCAGGUGCGAAAGCAGGUCAUAGUGAUCCGGUGGUUCUGAAUGGAAGGGCCAUCGCUCAACGGAUAAAAGGUACUCCGGGGAUAACAGGCUGAUACCGCCCAAGAGUUCAUAUCGACGGCGGUGUUUGGCACCUCGAUGUCGGCUCAUCACAUCCUGGGGCUGAAGUAGGUCCCAAGGGUAUGGCUGUUCGCCAUUUAAAGUGGUACGCGAGCUGGGUUUAGAACGUCGUGAGACAGUUCGGUCCCUAUCUGCCGUGGGCGCUGGAGAAUUGAGGGGGGCUGCUCCUAGUACGAGAGGACCGGAGUGGACGCAUCACUGGUGUUCGGGUUGUCAUGCCAAUGGCACUGCCCGGUAGCUAAAUGCGGAAGAGAUAAGUGCUGAAAGCAUCUAAGCACGAAACUUGCCCCGAGAUGAGUUCUCCCUGAGACUUUAAGUCUCCUGAAGGAACGUUGAAGACGACGACGUUGAUAGGCCGGGUGUGUAAGCGCAGCGAUGCGUUGAGCUAACCGGUACUAAUGAACCGUGAGGCUUAACCU
RNAcentral lists this ribosomal RNA (2899 nucleotides) under Klebsiella pneumoniae. RNAcentral describes it as "23S ribosomal RNA". It matches the Rfam family "Bacterial large subunit ribosomal RNA". Lineage: Bacteria; Pseudomonadati; Pseudomonadota; Gammaproteobacteria; Enterobacterales; Enterobacteriaceae. The record is from RNAcentral.